Molecule: ribosomal RNA, 377 nt
Filed under: uncultured bacterium
Lineage: Bacteria
Description: bacterial SSU rRNA
Rfam family: Bacterial small subunit ribosomal RNA
Source: RNAcentral
UACAGAGGUGCCGAGCGUUAGGCGGAAUCACUGGGCUUAAAGCGCGCGUAGGUGGGCGUCUAAGUGUCCGCGUGAAAUCCCACGGCUCAACCGUGGAACGGCCGGGCAGACUGGACGCCUUGAGGCGCCCAGGGGCGAGCGGAACAAGUGGUGGAGCGGUGAAAUGCGUAGAUAUCACUUGGAACGCCGGCGGUGAAAACGGCUCGCUGGGGGCGUUCUGACACUGAGGCGCGAAAGCCAGGGGAGCGAACGGGAUUAGAUACCCCGGUAGUCCUGGCCCUAAACGAUGUCCACUGGGUCGCGGCGGCUCUGACGCCGGCGCGGCCGGAGCAAAAGUGUUAAGUGGACCGCCUGGGAAGUACGGUCGCAAGGCUAAA